Mercenaria mercenaria is the source of this 581-nucleotide long non-coding RNA. RefSeq lists it as uncharacterized. The record is from RefSeq and is a predicted model, not a curated record. The transcript is spliced from 2 exons. NCBI's taxonomy places the organism in Eukaryota, Metazoa, Mollusca, Bivalvia, Venerida, Veneridae.
UGGAAAAAAAACGAAACAUUUGGUUUUGACUCCUAAAUCUCACUCCAUGUUUUCACUCCAAGGUUACUCUAAAAUCUCACGGACCAUUACUCCGCUCCAAGACUCCUCUCCAUGUUUUGUCGUAUGCCGUAAAAAAUAUAUGUGAUCCUCUUCCUAAAUAUAACCUCUUUGCCGCCACAGAUUACACGUUCGCUGAUCCGGACACAUAAUCAGAUUUGUUAUGAACGAUAACGGGGAGAUAGGAGCGGACGGUGGCUCGGGUUUAUUACGUCGCCCGAGUAAACUGGAGACCUUAAUUGAAACUGUCUUUGGUGGUGGUGGUGGUGGUGGCGGUGGCGGUUCUGGAAGUCAUGGCAAGCGCGAUAAGAGCAGUAGUGGCGAUAAAGGCGGUAGUGGCGAUAAAGAGAAGAAGAAAAAGAAGUGAAUUAGGACAGUCUUGCUCGCAUGUCUGACAUUCGCUAGCUUAAGAUAAAUUCUAGUCGUUUAACCCAAUGUGUUCGUAUCAAUCACGUCUUAGUUUUACACAAUAUAAAGGAUUGUUUCUUCAUAACAUUAUAGUAUUAUCAUACAUACCGUCGGUG